Molecule: RNA transcript, 1357 nt
Organism: Passer domesticus (house sparrow)
Lineage: Eukaryota; Metazoa; Chordata; Aves; Passeriformes; Passeridae
Exons: 7
Source: RefSeq, a predicted model, not a curated record
GGGGCAUUGCCUGGAGCAGCAUGGGAGAUUUAAAUGGCUCCAAGGAGCGCAAGGAACAGGAGCUGGCAAAUAGGACUUGGUGUGUCAGAAGAAUGUGACAUGGCAGUGUGCACAGCAGUUCACACAGGCAGGAGAAGAAGGAAAAGCACAGCCACUCUCCCAGCUCCUGACUGGGGUGUUAGGUCUUUUUUUUGAACUCCCAACUUGAAUUGCCCACACUUGAAAGCCAUUCUAGUAGGAGCGUGGUGACCCAGACAAAGCUCCCCAAGAAGGAUGUAGCUUUCUGGUCUCUGUAUGGAGUGCCUGAGCCUGGUGUUAGCACCAGGAACUAUUAGAGGACAGAGGAAAAGACAGCUGUGGGCAGUGUGAGUAGGUUGAUGAUCUGCUCUUUCUGGUGUCAGAGCUUAAAGAGGAGGUGGACAGGCUGAGGAGUACCAUGGAGUGCAAAACGGAAGUAGACUGCUGGGGUCAAACUCUUCCAUCCCUGAGACAAGCUCAUUGGAUGGAAGGACAGCAGGUGUUGGAGGAAUGUCACAAAGGAAAAAGGAGACCUAAAAGAUGUCAGAGAAAGGAAAUGGGUCCCUGCUAAGGGGAAGAAUCCCUCCCAGCUUCUCUCUCCUUCCCAGGUGCCCUUACAGAACAGGGAAAAUUACAAGUUCUGCAUUGUCCAGGAAUUCUUUCCCAUCUGAAAAAUGAUGUUCAUACAAAACAAGAGCAAGAAAAGAAAGCAGCUACUACAUUGCAGGAAUAAAAAAAUGCUUGGGAGGUAUUCACUGACUCAAAGAAUCACAGAAUAAGCUGAGUUGGUGAGGACCCAUGAGGAUCAUCUAAUCCAACUCCUAGUCCUUCAAAGAACCAUCCCCAAGAGUCACACCCUGUGCCUGAGUGUUGUACAAACACUUCUUGAGCUCUGUCAGGCCCAGACUGCAGUCUUGAAAGCAUUGGAGAAUUAACCUUAUGGAAACCAGACUGUGGGAGCACAUUUUUGCACUUGGAAAAGGAAAUUGAGAGUGUAUCUACCAUGCUGACUGGUACAACAAUAUAAAUGAAAAAACCUGAAAAUACAACUCAUAAAACUGAGUCUCCAGUCAAGCACUGUGAUGAUGGUGGCCAGGUGGGAUGUCCAUUAAGUGCUCUCACUAAGUCAAGCAGAAUUCACAGAGUCACGGAAUGGGUAAGGUUGGAAGGGACCACAGUGGGUUAUCUUGUCCAACCUCCCUGCUCAUCCCAGAGCACAUGGCACAGGAUUGUGUCUAGACAGUUCUUGAAUAUCUUCCAUAAGGGAAACUCCAAACCCUACUGGACAAACUGUUCCGGUGCUCAGUCACUGCGCAAUAAAGUUCUUCCUCAUAUUCAA